AGUGAACGCUGGCGGUAGGCCUAACACAUGCAAGUCGAACGGCAGCACAGGAGAGCUUGCUCUCUGGGUGGCGAGUGGCGGACGGGUGAGGAAUACAUCGGAAUCUACUCUGUCGUGGGGGAUAACGUAGGGAAACUUACGCUAAUACCGCAUACGACCUACGGGUGAAGGCAGGGGACCUUCGGGCCUUGCGCGAUUGAAUGAGCCGAUGUCGGAUUAGCUGGUUGGCGGGGUAAAGGCCCACCAAGGCGCCGAUCCGUAGCUGGUCUGAGAGAAUGAUCAGGCAACCUGGAACUGAGAGACGUUCCAGACUCCUACGGGAGGCAGGAGGGGGGAAUAUUGGACAAUGGGCGCAAGCCUGAUCCAGCCAUACCGCGUGGGUGAAGAAGGCCUUCGGGUUGUAAAGCCCUUUUGUUGGGAAAGAAAUCCAGCUGGCUAAUACCCGGUUGGGAUGACGGUACCCAAAGAAUAAGCACCGGCUAACUACGUGCCAGCAGCCGCCGUAA
Molecule: ribosomal RNA, 506 nt
Filed under: uncultured bacterium
Lineage: Bacteria
Description: partial 16S ribosomal RNA
Rfam family: Bacterial small subunit ribosomal RNA
Source: RNAcentral